Molecule: ribosomal RNA, 253 nt
Filed under: uncultured bacterium
Lineage: Bacteria
Description: partial 16S ribosomal RNA
Rfam family: Bacterial small subunit ribosomal RNA
Source: RNAcentral
UACGUAGGGGGCAAGCGUUGUCCGGAAUCAUUGGGCGUAAAGCGCGUGUAGGCGGCCCGAUAAGUCCGCUGUGAAAGUCCAGGGCUCAACCCUGGAAUGCCGGUGGAUACUGUCGGGCUAGAGUGCGGAAGAGGCGAGUGGAAUUCCUGGUGUAGCGGUGAAAUGCGCAGAUAUCAGGAGGAACACCAAUUGCGAAGGCAGCUCGCUGGGACGUGACUGACGCUGAGACGCGAAAGCGUGGGGAGCAAACAGG